Alligator mississippiensis (American alligator) is the source of this 93-nucleotide transfer RNA. It matches the Rfam family "tRNA". From Rfam's summary of the family: Transfer RNA (tRNA) molecules are approximately 80 nucleotides in length. Their secondary structure includes four short double-helical elements and three loops (D, anti-codon, and T loops). Further hydrogen bonds mediate the characteristic L-shaped molecular structure. tRNAs have two regions of fundamental functional importance: the anti-codon, which is responsible for specific mRNA codon recognition, and the 3' end, to which the tRNAs corresponding amino acid is attached (by aminoacyl-tRNA synthetases). tRNAs cope with the degeneracy of the genetic code in two manners: having more than one tRNA (with a specific anti-codon) for a particular amino acid; and 'wobble' base-pairing, i.e. permitting non-standard base-pairing at the 3rd anti-codon position. Lineage: Eukaryota; Metazoa; Chordata; Crocodylia; Alligatoridae. The record is from Rfam.
GCUCCAGUGGUGCAAUGGGUUAGCAUGUGGUACUUAUAAGGCAGUACUGAGAAAGUGAUGCCAAGGUUGUGAGUUCAAGCCUCACCUGGAGCA